This 1956-nucleotide long non-coding RNA is filed under the name Olea europaea subsp. europaea. Lineage: Eukaryota; Viridiplantae; Streptophyta; Magnoliopsida; Lamiales; Oleaceae. The record is from RNAcentral.
AAAAAACUCUAAAGUUCAAUCAAAAGAAAUUCACUUACGAGACUCAACGUCCCUAACCUAUCUUCUAAGUCUCUCUCACACCCACAGUCCCACGGCGCGACCUCUCUCAUUUUCUCACCAAAUCGCCAAUAUUGCCCAACGUCGGUAGCCGAUUUUCCAUGGUCAAGGGUCAUCGGUAAGACCUCUCUUAGUUUCAUGCUUCUUCCAUUGAUUUUCAUUUGGUUGACUGGUUCUUUCCAAAUGUACUUUGAGUAUUCUUUAUUUUGUCUGCACAGUUUCAAUUGGAUCAUCUCGAGGUCUUGUAUCUGCAUAGGUUAUGUGGCGACCGAAGACCCAGAAGAAUUUUUAGAAAAAGAAAGAAAUAAUUUCGGAGGAAGAGAGAAAUUUAGAGAAAGAAUGAUUUAGAUUUGAAUUGUGGCGACCGAAGACCCAGAAGAACAGGCGCGCAAUAGUCGUCUCUAGGUAUUUCUUUCAUCGUUUUGGGCAAGUCUUGGAGGGGUUUUUGGCAGUCAGAAUAACGGUCAAGAAGAAAAAGAAGAAGACUUAGAAAUGGCUUCAAAAGCUGUUGUUCAAGAACAACCCAGUGGCAACAAUAGUAAAUGAAAAUAAUCCAAUUUUAUAACACCGAUCAUAGUUUGGACUGAUUUUUGAAGGGAUUAUUGAUCAAUUUUGGGAUGCACUCUUUUUCUUUCUUUAAGUUGAUUAAUUACUACUGCAGACCAAUCAGACCAAAAGAUUAAUAUCAAUUAAGUUAGGUUAUUUAAGUAUAAUAUGAUAAGGAUAGCAUUGCAAGAUUAACUGACCCUUCUUAGUUGAUAUUGGAUAAGUGGUGUCAUUCUAUUAUGUGGUGGGAGUUUGAGUAAAGUGUUUCAUUCUUAGAGUUGCAGCAGGCAUAUUGGGACGGUUGAUUAAUGAGUAUUUUAGUGUUUUUAGUGUUUCAUCAAUCUGCUCAAGUUGGGAUGAGUAUUCUAUUGUAACUUUUUUUUCUGGGAACAUUAUCUCUAUCCUCUUUUUGAUGGAAGAAUGCAUCUCUUUAGAAGUUCAUGCUGUAAAUGGAAGUCAUUGUUGAAUAAUACUUCGCUCAUCUCUCUUCUCACUUCAUGUCUGUGAAAUAGGUUGAGUAAUACACUUAAAUUUGGAGGCGGCUAAAUUAUCGGACAUGGGAUGGAUGAUUGUUGUGUUGUGGUUGAGGCUGAAAAUCUGAUUGUUAUCGGUAUAUUUUGUGUUAGAGAUUCCAUUUAUUGGCUUUCUUCUUGUUACACUUUUUUAACCAGAUUUUGUAAAUAUAGAAUUUAAAUUUCAGUAAUAUGACAUAUAUAAAUUUGCUCAACAUUCUAUAACUUCGCUUUUUCUAGAUUGGUUUUUCCACAUUUGUUGUUAUACAUGGUGUUAACUAGAAGGAGAGUUGAAACAGGGUGAAGUAGGGGAAGUGUGGUAAGAGUUGAGAAGGGGAGGAAAUGGCUGAGAUUGCUACUGUCUGAAGUAGGGAGGUCAAAGUCACUAGAAGGAGUUUCUACUGUGCAGCAGCGGUAGUGCCAACCUGGGGAAGCAUUGGCUGAAUGGAGGUCUUCUUAGCACUAGUCAAGUGUAAUCUCUGCAUGAUAUUAGUCACAUGUUAUCUCUGCAUUUUUGUCUUACACUUACACCUUGAGGUGUUCAUCACAUGAGAAAUCAAGAUGCUGGAUUGAGAAGGAAAAUCUGCAGACAGAUGCAGGGAUUGAUACAGAAAAACUAUUAACAAGCCUGAAGUGAUUGAAAUUAUAUUGCUCGUAUUUAUUGGAAGUUAGGGUGAUUCUUUAACUCUUGUUAUUUAUUGACCUUUUUUACUUAUGUAAGAAAGAAAAACAUGCCUAUAUUUUUCUUUGCUUUUAGAAUUUUGGAUCUGGAUUUUGUACAGAUAUUGUUACAUUUUCAAGCUCAGUUAAGAAUUAUUAUUGGAGUUAUUUGAGAUAGUUA